UUCAUCAUUCCAUAAGCUGCUUUACCACUGUAGACAGGGUCAAGAAUAACACCUGUGGUUUCAGCAACUUGCUUCACAAAUUUAAGCUCAUCAGUGGUGCUCAAAGCAUACCCAAGGCCUUUUGCAGUUUUGAUGCUAACAAUAUCACGGGAGCUAACUCCAGCAGUGAUUCCGUCAAGUAGGCCUUGAACAUAUUCAUAAAAGUAAUCUGGAUCGUCGCAGACACAAAAUGCAUUAAUCUUUGCUUUCAAGCCACUGAGCAUGGAUGCAAUUGACAAACCAGCAACCGUACCCCCACUGCCACAAGCUACAACAAUGUCGUCGAAUUUCUGUUCAAUGCUCAAGUGCUGAAGUUGUUGCUCCAAUUCCCUAAUUGCCUCAAUAUAGCCCCAGGUUCCUAGAGAAUUGGAUCCACCAACAGGGAUGACAUAUGGCUUUCUCCCUUCAUUUAACAGCUUUUCUUUCAAUAUUUUGGUAAGAGCCUCACCGCCAACUUUUGCAUAUUCUUCUUUUGAAACAAGAUCAAUGUGUGCUCCAACUAAACGGUCAACAAGGAGGUUCCCUGUUAAUCCAGGAUCUUUAUCUACAAGUAACUUUGAAGUGCGUAAGAUGAGAUAGCAGUCAAGGUUCAAGUACUUGGCAGCGACAGCAGUAGCACGACAGUGAUUACUUUGUAUGCCACCUAUAGUCACUAUGCAGUCAGCACCCUGUGCUACAGCAUCUGCCAACAAGAACUCCAGCUUUCUGACCUUGUUUCCACUUAAUUGCAUUCCUGACAUAUCAUCACGCUUUAACCAAACCUCGGUGUUCUUCGGUAAAUUAGGCAGGUUCCACUUGUGAAUUGGAGUCGGAAAAUGACCAAGCGAAAAGGUGUGAGAGGGAAUUGGGCUAAGAAGCGAAGCCCAUGGAGGAGGCUCGUAAGGCUUCUUCGUCAGAAACUGAAAGGCCGAUUGGUGACCCUGGGAACUGGAAUCCUCCAUCGAUGAUUUGGUAAAGCAACACUGUUUCUUCAAGUUUAAUGCCGUAUUGAGUUGUGCUGGCUGCAAGGGAAAUGGAGAUAG
RNAcentral lists this unclassified non-coding RNA (1061 nucleotides) under Hevea brasiliensis (rubber tree). The record is from RNAcentral. Lineage: Eukaryota; Viridiplantae; Streptophyta; Magnoliopsida; Malpighiales; Euphorbiaceae.